CUGUCAAAAAACUUGUGUCCAAAUUUCUACGUAACCUUAAGCUGACCCCAUCUCCACCUUCAAUCUGGUAAGCUUUCUUUUUCUCAGAAAGCCUGGGUUUUGAUUUUUUGUUUUUUUUAAAUGAUUCGAUCUUUCUUUUAAUAAUUUUGCAUGUGUUUAUGUUUUGUUUCCAGGUUCUUGUUCAGAGCAAUUUAUUGUUAGAUCUUUGUUUGGCUGUUCCAGAAUCGAGAAUGAGUCAUAUCCUUACGAUAUGUUCCUUUUCUCUGAUUUAAGAUCACGCUAAUAUCGAUCCAAUUCUUUGUUUUGAUGAACAAGAUUCUCUUAUCUUCUACUCCCUCUCCCUCUGUUCCAGUUUAUGUGAACCUAUUUCCUUUUUGGUCCGUUCCAAAAAGAAUGAACCCUUUCUAAAUUUGGUAACAAUUUAGCUUAAAGUUGCGUAACUUUAAGCUUUUAUAACCACACAAAUACUCCAUUUGGACUUGUUUAGAAUCACAAGUUCCAAACGGAGGGAGUAUUCGAUUGCCGAGAAAUUGAGAAAAAAUAUCCAAAAUUAAAGAUUUUUUAUUUAAUUUUGUUGGGGUAAUCUAUUAAAUUGGGAAUCCCCUUUCGAGAUAUAUCCUCAAUUGGCUCGGUAUCCAAAGAAUUGGUUUAGUUAGGACCUAAAGAUUGAAUUUUUGUGGCUCAAAGAAUGGCAUUUUUGUUUCUGAUUGUUGUCUGUUUUUGACUUAACUCAAGCUAACGCGGAAAUCAGAGAGAUAGAGAUCGUGAAAGGGCACAAGCCAGGGCAGGUAGCAAACCCAAACAGCCCAAAGGUGAUGGAUUGACCCCUGAACAAAGACGAGAAAGGUUCUUUCUUUCCUCCUAAACAACCCUCA
Molecule: long non-coding RNA, 875 nt
Filed under: Nicotiana tabacum (common tobacco)
Lineage: Eukaryota; Viridiplantae; Streptophyta; Magnoliopsida; Solanales; Solanaceae
Description: long non-coding RNA (NTAB_LNC001741)
Source: RNAcentral